AAUAGAUACCCUGGUAGUCCACGCCGUAAACGAUGAGUGCUAAGUGUUAGAGGGUUUCCGCCCUCUAGUGCUGCAGCUAACGCAUUAAGCACUCCGCCUGGGGAGUACGGUCGCAAGACUGAAACUCAAAGGAAUUGACGGGGGCCCGCACAAGCGGUGGAGCAUGUGGUUUAAUUCGAAGCAACGCGAAGAACCUUACCAGGUCUUGACAUCCUCUGACAACUCUAGAGAUAGAGCGUUCCCCUUCGGGGGACAGAGUGACAGGUGGUGCAUGGUUGUCGUCAGCUCGUGUCGUGAGAUGUUGGGUUAAGUCCCGCAACGAGCGCAACCCUUGAUCUUAGUUGCCAGCAUUCAGUUGGGCACUCUAAGGUGACUGCCGGUGACAAACCGGAGGAAGGUGGGGAUGACGUCAAAUCAUCAUGCCCCUUAUGACCUGGGCUACACACGUGCUACAAUGGAUGGUACAAAGGGCUGCAAGACCGCGAGGUCAAGCCAAUCCCAUAAAACCAUUCUCAGUUCGGAUUG
RNAcentral lists this ribosomal RNA (525 nucleotides) under uncultured bacterium. RNAcentral describes it as "bacterial SSU rRNA". It matches the Rfam family "Bacterial small subunit ribosomal RNA", at positions 777 to 1300 of the family's 1533-position model. The record is from RNAcentral.